GUAGGUGAACCUGCGGAAGGAUCAUUACUGAGUUAGGGUCUUCGGGCCCGACCUCCAACCCUUUGUCUAUCAUACCACCUGUUGCUUCGGCGAGCCCGUUCUUUGAGAUACAAGAACCGCCGGAGGGAUCAAACCCUCUGGUCCGUGCUCGUCGGUAGCCAUUGAUAAAUUCUUGUUUAAUUGUGUCAUCUAAGUAAACAUUUUAAUUAAAUUAAAACUUUCAACAACGGAUCUCUUGGUUCUGGCAUCG
RNAcentral lists this unclassified non-coding RNA (250 nucleotides) under plant metagenome. RNAcentral describes it as "partial contains small subunit ribosomal RNA, internal transcribed spacer 1, and 5.8S ribosomal RNA". The record is from RNAcentral.